RNAcentral lists this ribosomal RNA (253 nucleotides) under uncultured bacterium. Its description in RNAcentral is "partial 16S ribosomal RNA". It matches the Rfam family "Bacterial small subunit ribosomal RNA", at positions 524 to 776 of the family's 1533-position model. The record is from RNAcentral.
UACGAGAGGCCCAAACGUUAUUCGGAUUUACUGGGCUUAAAGAGUUCGUAGGCGGCGCAGCAAGUAGGGUGUGAAAGCCCUCGGCUCAACCGAGGAAUUGCGCUCUAAACUACUGUGCUUGAGGAAGCUAGAGGUGAGCGGAACUGAUGGUGGAGCGGUGAAAUGCGUUGAUAUCAUCAGGAACACCGGAGGCGAAGGCGGCUCACUGGGGCUUUUCUGACGCUGAGGAACGAAAGCCAGGGGAGCGAACAGG